RNAcentral lists this ribosomal RNA (615 nucleotides) under uncultured bacterium. RNAcentral describes it as "bacterial SSU rRNA". The stretch from base 1 to 521 matches the Rfam family "Bacterial small subunit ribosomal RNA", at positions 338 to 873 of the family's 1533-position model. The record is from RNAcentral.
CCUACGGGAGGCAGCAGUGGGGAAUAUUGGGCAAUGGAGGAAACUCUGACCCAGCGACGCCGCGUGCGGGAUGAAGGCCUUCGGGUUGUAAACCGCUUUCAGUAGGGAAGAAGCGAAAGUGACGGUACCUACAAAAGAAGCACCGGCUAACUAUGUGCCAGCAGCCGCGGUAAUACAUAGGGUGCAAGCGUUGUCCGGAAUUAUUGGGCGUAAAGAGCUCGUAGGUCGUUUGUUACGUCGGAUGUGAAAACCUGAGGCUCAACUUCAGGCCUGCAUUCGAUACGGGCAAACUAGAGUUUGGUAGGGGAGACUGGAAUUCCUGGUGUAGCGGUGGAAUGCGCAGAUAUCAGGAGGAACACCAAUGGCGAAGGCAGGUCUCUGGGCCAAUACUGACACUGAGGAGCGAAAGUCUGGGGAGCGAACAGGAUUAGAUACCCUGGUAGUCCAGACCGUAAACGGUGGGCACUAGUUGUGGGAACCUUCCACGGUUUCUGCGACGCNGCUACGCAUAGUCGCCCGCCGUCGGGAGGUACGAGCGCGAGAAGUUAAACGUUAAAGGUAAAGUUAGACGGUCGUGUAGACGUUGUCCGAACGGACGACGACGAGGGAGGUAGG